AAAAGAAACUAACAAGGAUUCCCUGAGUAACGGCGAGCGAAAAGGGAAUAGCCCAGCGCCGAAUCUCUUGUCCUCCGGGCAAGAAGACAUGUGGCGUUUGGGACGAGGCUUUGCCUGUGCAGAAUGGUCGUCUAAGUCCCUCUUGAACGGGGCCAUAGCCCAUGGAGGGUGCUAGGCCCGUAUGAUGACUUUAUUGUGCAGUGCGUCUCGUCCGUAGAGUCGGGUUGCUUGGGAGUGCAGCCCAAAUCAGGUGGUAAACUCCAUCUAAGGCUAAAUAUGACCACGAGACCGAUAGCGAACAAGUACCGUGAGGGAAAGUUGAAAAGAACUUUGAAGAGAGAGUUAAAAAGUACGUGAAACCUCUCGGGGGUAAGCGGGCAGAACUUGCAAGUAUUGGCUGGGAAGAUUCAGGCCUAGUGUCGGUGGCUUGUGGUGCACGUUUUGUUGCUCUUUCGGGAGUUGACUGCCGUGUGCUGUUUGGUCUGCUGACGAUGCGCCGCAUUUCUUCCUGUCAUCGGGCUGCAUGCGACUAAAUUGGCAGUUUAGGUGCUGGGUUCCUGCAAAUCCUUGUGGUUUGAGUCCUGGUUUCCAACUGCUGUUGUGGUCGUUGAAAUUACGAGUAGGCGCUUGGCGCGGUCAAAUGAUUUCGCGAGUUGGGUGCUUAUGAUAUGUGGACGGGUAACCGUAGCAUGUUGUCUGUACCUGCUGUCAGUGAGAUUAUGUUUUGGCACUGCUCUGAUUGCAAUCUAAAGCAUGCGUGGUCUGCCUGUCCCGUCCUGAAACACGGACCAAGGAGUCUAACAUGUGCGCGAGUCAUUGGGAAUGAAAACCCAAAGGCGUAAUGAAAGUGAAGAUUCGAUUGCGAAUUUGAGGAGAGAUCCCGGCUCUGUAUGGCAUUCCGAAAGGUUUGUUGUGCAGGGUGGGCGCAUCUCCGGGACGUCUAUACCUCUGAAGGUGGGGCGUACCUAGAGCGUACACGUUGGGACCCGAAAGAU
This 995-nucleotide ribosomal RNA is filed under the name Yoshiicerus kinoshitai. RNAcentral describes it as "eukaryotic LSU rRNA". It matches the Rfam family "Eukaryotic large subunit ribosomal RNA", at positions 57 to 824 of the family's 3401-position model. Lineage: Eukaryota; Metazoa; Arthropoda; Collembola; Entomobryomorpha; Tomoceridae. The record is from RNAcentral.